CCCAGUGCAAUGCGGAACGAUCGCGAGCAGCGAAACAGCACGGAAGCACGUGGUUAGGAAUCUGGGGGAGCGGCGCAAUGGAGAGCACUGUGCGGUAAUGAAGCAAGCAGUGAAAAAAGAAAAGAAACCCCUCACGAUCGCGAAAACCGAUCGUCUCCGAUGCGAUCCGCGCGUGUACGCACGACAGCCGAGGAGGGCGCGCACACGAGCGAACGCAGCCAAGUUGCGCUCUCUCGCAGGCGCCAACAGUAGUUUGGCUGCAGCAUCCAACGGUUGCGGUUCUGGCCCCGGGCCCGUCGUCUUCUUGUGCCGGGUUGCGGAACGGUGCGUCCCGCAAAAUAAACGCGCUUUGUGUAGUUCGUGCGAUCGUGUGUAUUUGUGGCAUGACUUUUGCUAAAAGUGCAUUAGUGAACUAAUCAUGUGAAUAACUGUUUAUAGAAAGUGUUCAAUCUGAAAUAUCCCAUUUUUUGUGUUAUUUAAAAUGUAAAGAAUGUGUCUGAAAAUGUGAAUUUUCUGCGAAAAACGACCAAGGUGAAUAGAGAGAGAGAGAGAGACGCACAUACAUCGUGUUGGCUGUCCCGGGAGCAGCACGGACGGCUGUGCGAUGGCCCGUUAGCUUUGUAUUUUCGUUCGUGUCAGUGUCAGUGAAAAACGGGAAAAUCCCAAUCUCAAUGUGAAGUGAAAAUAGCGGAGUGUUUGUGCGUCAAAAGUGUCGUGCGUGUGAAACAGACACGCGAACGACAGGAAAAUCUCUUCACGACGACAAAGUAUCGCUUACUCGAUCGUUUUUCCCCAUGCUGUAUGUGUGUGCGUAGUGACAGUAGCAGCAAAAGAGUUGCAAUAAACGAAUGUUGCUUGUAAUCCCAUCACAUCGCCGUCUUUCCAUCUGCUAAAUCGCUUCCGUCAAGGAGGCGAUCUGCAAGCAGUGUGUUGAUUUGUCCCCUCCCGGGUUCAAGUGACAGUGCGUGUGUGUUCUGCAACUCUUUGUCGACUGAACUCAUCUCCUCCAACGGUUCAGAAGUUCGGUGCUAUUGGUACGUUUAUUUACGCGCGAGCACUCAUGAUGUUGGCCGUCCCAGUGCCCCAUGAAUCAAGCGCGAAAGUGAAUUCAGGAUUAAAUAUCAAAGCCACCGAAGUCGCACCAUUGAACGCCACCGUUCGAGCGCACGCGGUCAAGAUCAUUCGGUGACGCGAUUUGAAUCAUUUCGCGGCCCUUUAAGCCUUCUUUGCUGUGCUUCUGUGUACAGUGUAAGUACCGCUACCGAAAGGGACAAACGCACUCGAGGUUUGAUUGAAGGCAGCACCACAAACAACCCAAAUUGACGCAAUCGCGCGUGUGUUUAUCGCGCAGAAUCCCGCUCCCGCAGACUAGCGCGAACGGCGCAACCGUCUCAAGUGUGCGUGGCUUAAUAGAAUAAUGCACCUCCUUGAUUCGUCGAAGGGGGGACAACUCGACAGAACGACGGAUUCGCGUGUAAUAUGAACCGCCAAUCCGAUGGUGGUGCCAAAGUGCUUGUGAACGCGUACGCCGGUGGGAGCAGCAGCAGCGGCAACGGGAACCGGAGCAGAAGGGCUGAAGACGCCGGCAGAACGCCCAAAUCAAAGUCAAAACCGUCGGUGCAGGUAAGAGGCAAUUAUUUACAGCAAACAAAUGCGGUACAAAUCAUUUCCAUUACCUCCCUCGUUACACGCUCGUGGUACGGAAGUGUCCCAUCAUUAAGAUGCGAGUAGAGGUCGCGAGAAUGUGAAUAUGAUACUUUCGUGUUUUGGAUAUAGUUAUUUAUACAUACAUGUUGUUCAUUGAAAUUUAGAUGUUUAUACGCUAAGCGAUUUGAGAUGGAAUUCCCCAAUAGAUUAAAAAUGUUUCCUAUUAAAUGUAUCUGUCUUAAUGAGCAUUUGUAUCAUUUCCCAAUAAUUACAACAUAAACAACACGGCAAAAUAGGGAUGGAUAUCAAAGAUAAAAGAAAAGUCUAAUUUAAAUACGUUACAUUGUACAGUCUGUUCCCGAGUUACAUGGUUCUCGACUUACGCGGAUUCGGAGAUACGCGGAUUUCUAAAUUGGACAGAUUAAAUGUUAAAUCAGUACAAUUUGCUUCAAGUUUAGUAUAAAUUGCAUUUUUGCUAACAAUUUGAAACCGCCCAAAAGCGAGAAAUAUUAGAAAUUUUCUA
Anopheles arabiensis is the source of this 2170-nucleotide long non-coding RNA. RefSeq lists it as uncharacterized. The transcript has 3 exons. NCBI's taxonomy places the organism in Eukaryota, Metazoa, Arthropoda, Insecta, Diptera, Culicidae. The record is from RefSeq and is a predicted model, not a curated record.